GGCGGCGUGCUUAACACAUGCAAGUCGAACGAUGAACCGGUUCGGCCGGGGAUUAGUGGCGAACGGGUGAGUAACACGUGGGUGAUCUGCCCUGCACUCUGGGACAAGCCCUGGAAACGGGGUCUAAUACCGGAUAUGACCUGCCCUUCGCAUGGGGGUGGGUGGAAAGCUCCGGCGGUGCAGGAUGAGCCCGCGGCCUAUCAGCUUGUUGGUGAGGUAAUGGCUCACCAAGGCGACGACGGGUAGCCGGCCUGAGAGGGCGACCGGCCACACUGGGACUGAGACACGGCCCAGACUCCUACGGGAGGCAGCAGUGGGGAAUAUUGCACAAUGGGCGAAAGCCUGAUGCAGCGACGCCGCGUGAGGGAUGACGGCCUUCGGGUUGUAAACCUCUUUCAGCAGGGAAGAAGCGAGAGUGACGGUACCUGCAGAAGAAGCGCCGGCUAACUACGUGCCAGCAGCCGCGGUAAUACGUAGGGCGCGAGCGUUGUCCGGAAUUAUUGGGCGUAAAGAGCUCGUAGGCGGCUUGUCGCGUCGGUUGUGAAAGCCCGGGGCUUAACCCCGGGUCUGCAGUCGAUACGGGCAGGCUAGAGUUCGGUAGGGGAGAUCGGAAUUCCUGGUGUAGCGGUGAAAUGCGCAGAUAUCAGGAGGAACACCGGUGGCGAAGGCGGAUCUCUGGGCCGAUACUGACGCUGAGGAGCGAAAGCGUGGGGAGCGAACAGGAUUAGAUACCCUGGUAGUCCACGCCGUAAACGUUGGGAACUAGGUGUGGGCGACAUUCCACGUCGUCCGUGCCGCAGCUAACGCAUUAAGUUCCCCGCCUGGGGAGUACGGCCGC
Molecule: ribosomal RNA, 838 nt
Filed under: Streptomyces sp. IM-7239
Lineage: Bacteria; Bacillati; Actinomycetota; Actinomycetes; Kitasatosporales; Streptomycetaceae
Description: bacterial SSU rRNA
Rfam family: Bacterial small subunit ribosomal RNA
Source: RNAcentral